This is a non-coding RNA of Biomphalaria pfeifferi, 393 nucleotides long. NCBI's taxonomy places the organism in Eukaryota, Metazoa, Mollusca, Gastropoda, Planorbidae. The record is from the annotation of a GenBank genome assembly.
GGGGGGGGGGAUAAUGUUUUAUCAAUGCUUGUUUAUCGAUAUUUGUUUUUUACCCAGAAAGAAAAUGUUUUGUGAUGCCACUUCCUCACUAUUUGGAAUUUAAAAAAGACUUCAGCCACAGCUAACUUUUUUUCUCAUGAUUCAAGCAAACAACUGCCCCUAUAGAUUUUGUCCACCUCAGACCCUAUUCAAAUACAAAGCACAAUCAAUUUUGUGGUAGGGCAGAGAACUUAAAGGGAGAACAUUCAUGUUUUUUUUUGUUUUGACAAAGUCUGAAAGGAGCCAAAAGAAAAGAACAAAAAAAAUCUUUGCUAGAUGAAGGGAACAGGAGACAAAAAAAUAUGAUACAAGUAUCCACAAUGAUAGUUUUGCUAUCGGGGCGGCCGGGGGGGG